GUUAAUGGACCAAUCACAACGGCCGGAUUUUAUUAAGCUUAAUUAGUUACGAGAUUAGUUUAAUCUUUGUAUUAAAUAUCAAUGUAUUACAAUACAAUUAAUUAAUUCAAUACAAAGUUAAUACUGGUAAAUACCAGAUUAAAGAAAUAAGUCUUAAACUGUCUUCUCCUCCUCCUUAACGACAGUUUAUUCCGGUAACGCCCCCUUUCUCCAGUGGGCGACGAACCCUAGCCAGCAAUCUGGCAACUCCGCAGCACUUCGACCAUCCUCGGCUUGAGGAAGGCACUACAUUGUCGGCCCUCCUCCGCAACCCCAAGUUUAUAGGGGCAUGGAGCAAGAAAAAUCUUUUGAAUAAAGAAAAUAUUUGUAAUGUCAAUAAAUAUUUUGUUAAAGAAUAGUUAUAAGAAAAAAAUUAUUAUUAAGAAAAAUUAUUAUUAAGGGAAAAAAGUUAUAAAAAUAUAGUGUAGGGUUAUUUAUUUUAUAAAACUAUUUUGGGUCGGAUUUUUUAUGGGUUGGAUACCUUAAAACCCGAACUUGUACAAUCUAGGGUAAUUUUGAUCUGGUUAGGGUUGGAGUUAGAGUCAAAAGUUUUGAGAGGAUGAAACAUUAGACCCAAAUUCUACCCGACCAUCUCGGGUUCGGGUUUUGCUCUACCUAAAUUUUUAAUAAAGAAAAAAAAUUGAUUCUAAGAAGCUAAACGAUUCUAGAUCGACAAAGUGGACAAGAUCUAUUCCUAUCAAAAAUCCAUUGAAACGCACAGGAAAUAUGAAAAAAAUGUUUACAAGGAAGCUCGACGACCAAGCAUUUCAUUCCUUCAAAUUCCUCCAAACAUAUUGCACACAUUGUCUGAUCGUUAAAAUCAUAAACAUCAUCGCCCCAGUUGAAUAUCGUAGAAUCCACGACUAGUUUCACUCGCAAAUCUCGCUCCAUAACCAUAUCAUUCUCUUCUAAAAGCUUGUCAUAUGAAAAAGCAAACAAUUCAUAGUUUAAUCUGAUCGACACAAUCAAAAAUUCCGUCGAUCCAACUCCCUGGGUUUCAUAGUAUAGGAAGCGAGAAAGCGCAUUUUCGAUUCUAUUCAUUACUUGUUCGUUAACGUGAACGUAGCGAACGAUAUCUUGAACGGUUUCCUUAGUGGAAUCGAAGGAACCAAAAUGUUUGUCGAUUUCAGAAAUCAGAUUGGGUACGAAUGACGAUAAACUAGUUAUUGAUUGUGGUAACGACAAAGAUGAGUUCCUAAUGAUGUGUUUUCUGUCAACGAUUACUUCCAUGAUUACCGGCUGGAAUGUAAUUGCAUCAUUGUUGUUCAGUUCCCUUCGUUUUGAUUUGAAUUCACAGACGACUGUAUAUUUCUUGUUGGCGAAUUCGACUUUCUCUGAUGAAUCCCAUGCACUUUUGAGUGUAGAAGAUGCCAUUGUUCAAGUUACUUUUUGA
Molecule: long non-coding RNA, 1432 nt
Filed under: Zostera marina
Lineage: Eukaryota; Viridiplantae; Streptophyta; Magnoliopsida; Alismatales; Zosteraceae
Description: long non-coding RNA (ZMAR_LNC005654)
Source: RNAcentral